CCUACGGGAGGCAGCAGUGGGGAAUAUUGCGCAAUGGGCGAAAGCCUGACGCAGCGACGCCGCGUGAGGGAUGAAGGUCUUCGGAUCGUAAACCUCUGUCAGCAGGGAAGAACGGUCACUGUGCUAAUCAGCAGUGAAUUGACGGUACCUGCAAAGGAAGCACCGGCUAACUCCGUGCCAGCAGCCGCGGUAAUACGGAGGGUGCGAGCGUUAAUCGGAAUUACUGGGCGUAAAGCGCUCGUAGGCGGUAUGUCAAGUCAGGGGUGAAAGCCCCGCGCUCAACGUGGGAACUGCCUGUGAAACUGGCAAACUGGAGUGUGUGAGAGGAUAGUGGAAUUCCAGGUGUAGGAGUGAAAUCCGUAGAUAUCUGGAGGAACAUCAGUGGCGAAGGCGACUAUCUGGCACAUAACUGACGCUGAGGAGCGAAAGCGUGGGUAGCAAACAGGAUUAGAUACCCCUGUAGUC
This 465-nucleotide ribosomal RNA is filed under the name uncultured bacterium. RNAcentral describes it as "partial 16S ribosomal RNA". It matches the Rfam family "Bacterial small subunit ribosomal RNA", at positions 338 to 795 of the family's 1533-position model. The record is from RNAcentral.